UACGGAGGGUGCAAGCGUUGUUCGGAAUUACUGGGCGUAAAGCGCGUGUAGGCGGUUGGGCAAGUCAGAUGUGAAAGCCUUCCGCUUAACGGAAGAAGUGCAUUUGAAACUACCCGGCUGGAGUACGGGAGAGGAGAGUGGAAUUCCCGAUGUAGAGGUGAAAUUCGUAGAUAUCGGGAGGAACACCAGUGGCGAAGGCGGCUCUCUGGUCCGAUACUGACGCUGAGACGCGAAAGCGUGGGGAGCAAACAGG
RNAcentral lists this ribosomal RNA (253 nucleotides) under uncultured bacterium. RNAcentral's name for it is "partial 16S ribosomal RNA". It matches the Rfam family "Bacterial small subunit ribosomal RNA", at positions 524 to 776 of the family's 1533-position model. The record is from RNAcentral.